Molecule: ribosomal RNA, 465 nt
Filed under: Vreelandella stevensii
Lineage: Bacteria; Pseudomonadati; Pseudomonadota; Gammaproteobacteria; Oceanospirillales; Halomonadaceae
Description: partial 16S ribosomal RNA
Rfam family: Bacterial small subunit ribosomal RNA
Source: RNAcentral
CCUACGGGGGGCAGCAGUGGGGAAUAUUGGACAAUGGGGGGAACCCUGAUCCAGCCAUGCCGCGUGUGUGAAGAAGGCCCUCGGGUUGUAAAGCACUUUCAGUGAGGAAGAACGCCUGGUGGUUAAUACCCAUCAGGAAAGACAUCACUCACAGAAGAAGCACCGGCUAACUCCGUGCCAGCAGCCGCGGUAAUACGGAGGGUGCGAGCGUUAAUCGGAAUUACUGGGCGUAAAGCGCGCGUAGGUGGCUUGAUAAGCCGGUUGUGAAAGCCCCGGGCUCAACCUGGGAACGGCAUCCGGAACUGUCACGCUAGAGUGCAGGAGAGGAAGGUAGAAUUCCCGGUGUAGCGGUGAAAUGCGUAGAGAUCGGGAGGAAUACCAGUGGCGAAGGCGGCCUUCUGGACUGACACUGACACUGAGGUGCGAAAGCGUGGGUAGCAAACAGGAUUAGAUACCCCGGUAGUC